GAUGAACGCUGGCGGCGUGCCUAAUACAUGCAAGUCGAGCGAACAGACGAGGAGCUUGCUCCUCUGAUGUUAGCGGCGGACGGGUGAGUAACACGUGGAUAACCUACCUAUAAGACUGGGAUAACCUCGGGAAACCGGAGCUAAUACCGGAUAACAUGUUGAACCGCAUGGUUCAACAGUGAAAGACGGUCUUGCUGUCACUUAUAGAUGGAUCCGCGCCGCAUUAGCUAGUUGGUAAGGUAACGGCUUACCAAGGCAACGAUGCGUAGCCGACCUGAGAGGGUGAUCGGCCACACUGGAACUGAGACACGGUCCAGACUCCUACGGGAGGCAGCAGUAGGGAAUCUUCCGCAAUGGGCGAAAGCCUGACGGAGCAACGCCGCGUGAGUGAAGAAGGUCUUCGGAUCGUAAAACUCUGUUAUUAGGGAAGAACAAAUGUGUAAGUAACUAUGCACGUCUUGACGGUACCUAAUCAGAAAGCCACGGCUAACUACGUG
Molecule: ribosomal RNA, 497 nt
Filed under: uncultured bacterium
Lineage: Bacteria
Description: partial 16S ribosomal RNA
Rfam family: Bacterial small subunit ribosomal RNA
Source: RNAcentral